AACAUGUGAUGUAUUACACGUACACGAGUUGUGUAUGAUGUAAGCAGAUGACUCACGGAAGUGCAAGAGAUGCGCUGAACACGAGAUGAGAGCGAUACAGAAGGGAUUAAAAAGAAUGAUGAUUGCUGAUUUAAGCGUGGAUGCUAGCCGAUUGUGAAGCUCCUUUGAAUCUGAAGCGGGUGUUUAUCAAACUGUGAAACUCGGGAUUUGGUCAGGUUUAUUGGUUGAGUUGAGAACCUCUCUCAUGGAUUUGAGAUGGCGGGCCACCAAGGGAAAAAUUGAAUG
Long non-coding RNA from Sinocyclocheilus rhinocerous, 285 nucleotides. RefSeq lists it as uncharacterized. The transcript has 3 exons. NCBI's taxonomy places the organism in Eukaryota, Metazoa, Chordata, Actinopteri, Cypriniformes, Cyprinidae. The record is from RefSeq and is a predicted model, not a curated record.